Long non-coding RNA from Hemicordylus capensis (graceful crag lizard), 404 nucleotides. RefSeq lists it as uncharacterized. The record is from RefSeq and is a predicted model, not a curated record. NCBI's taxonomy places the organism in Eukaryota, Metazoa, Chordata, Lepidosauria, Squamata, Cordylidae. The transcript has 2 exons.
GCGGACCAACCAACGGUUAGAAAGGAAGCUUUGAGAAUGACUCUAAUAUUUGCUUCAAAGGAAGUGGGAGGAGCCAAAACUGAGCACGGGGGCACGACGAGCAGAAAAGGGCAGCGUUUCUGGCGGAGCGAAGGAAAGCGGUCCUAAACUAUGAGGCUUGGAAGAAAAGGGGGGCGGGCGGGGUAAGCAAUCUGGAGGCGAGAGACAGUAAGGAAAAAGGAAAAUAAAGGAUUGGCUGUCUAAAGCGGGUUGCGGGAGCAGUCACUGAGUCCCCCACCUUCUCAGAGGCUACUUGCUGAAAAGGCAGAAGAGAUGAGCCUACAGCCCCGCGACUUGAGACAAGGCUGCGCUUUUAUUUUUGCCUUCUGUAACUUGUUUUAGUAUUAAAUGGUAAACAACCUUGA